AGUCCAUGGUAUGGACAGCGUCUAAGUAGGUCCUUGUAUCUCUCCCAGGUGUCAUACAUCGACUCAUCGUCAAACUACAAACAAGAAGAUAUGUCAUUUCUAAGUUU
Non-coding RNA from Ricinus communis (castor bean), 107 nucleotides. The record is from Rfam. Lineage: Eukaryota; Viridiplantae; Streptophyta; Magnoliopsida; Malpighiales; Euphorbiaceae.